UGCAAGUCGAACGAGAUCCUUCGGGGUCUAGUGGCGCACGGGUGCGUAACGCGUGGGAAUCUGCCCUUAGGUUCGGAAUAACAGUUAGAAAUGACUGCUAAUACCGGAUGAUGACGUUAAGUCCAAAGAUUUAUCGCCUGAGGAUGAGCCCGCGUAGGAUUAGCUAGUUGGUGUGGUAAAGGCGCACCAAGGCGACAAUCCUUAGCUGGUCUGAGAGGAUGAUCAGCCACACUGGGACUGAGACACGGCCCAAACUCCUACGGGAGGCAGCAGUGGGGAAUAUUGGACAAUGGGCGCAAGCCUGAUCCAGCAAUGCCGCGUGAGUGAUGAAGGCCUUAGGGUUGUAAAGCUCUUUUACCCGGGAUGAUAAUGACAGUACCGGGAGAAUAAGCCCCGGCUAACUCCGUGCCAGCAGCCGCGGUAAUACGGAGGGGGCUAGCGUUGUUCGGAAUUACUGGGCGUAAAGCGCACGUAGGCGGCUUUGUAAGUUAGAGGUGAAAGCCUGGAGCUCAACUCCAGAACUGCCUUUAAGACUGCAUCGCUUGAAUCCAGGAGAGGUGAGUGGAAUUCCGAGUGUAGAGGUGAAAUUCGUAGAUAUUCGGAAGAACACCAGUGGCGAAGGCGGCUCACU
This 631-nucleotide ribosomal RNA is filed under the name uncultured bacterium. Its description in RNAcentral is "bacterial SSU rRNA". It matches the Rfam family "Bacterial small subunit ribosomal RNA", at positions 56 to 730 of the family's 1533-position model. The record is from RNAcentral.